AUUAGUCCUGAAAUGUAGGGCUUUGAAAGAUGGUUGUUGUUCUUACUAAUACUGAGGGGCCUUUGGUGGGGGNNNNGGCUGUGACGCCCGACGAUCCUUCUCCCUUCUUUCUCCAUCAUCUUUGAAUACGACUUUAUUAUUUUAUAUAAACUGCCCUUUCCGUCCGCUCCUUUGUUCAGAACAUCACAACCUGCCCAGUUUCCAUCCUCUUCGUCCUCAGCAGGUAAUAGUUCAGUUCUACUUACUUAUCAACCCACGUAUCCAACUGCUGAUUAUGAGUUUGUCUUGAUUUUG
This 294-nucleotide long non-coding RNA is filed under the name Linum usitatissimum (flax). RNAcentral's name for it is "long non-coding RNA (LUSI_LNC005384)". The record is from RNAcentral. Lineage: Eukaryota; Viridiplantae; Streptophyta; Magnoliopsida; Malpighiales; Linaceae.